Molecule: ribosomal RNA, 513 nt
Filed under: uncultured bacterium
Lineage: Bacteria
Description: partial 16S ribosomal RNA
Rfam family: Bacterial small subunit ribosomal RNA
Source: RNAcentral
GAUGAACGCUGGCGGCGUGCCUAAUACAUGCAAGUCGAGCGAACGGAUAAGGAGCUUGCUCCUUUGAAGUUAGCGGCGGACGGGUGAGUAACACGUGGGUAACCUACCUAUAAGACUGGAAUAACUUCGGGAAACCGGAGCUAAUGCCGGAUAACAUUUGGAACUGCAUGGUUCUAAAGUAAAAGAUGGUUUUGCUAUCACUUAUAGAUGGACCCGCGCCGUAUUAGCUAGUUGGUAAGGUAACGGCUUACCAAGGCAACGAUACGUAGCCGACCUGAGAGGGUGAUCGACCACACUGGAACUGCGACACGGUCCAGACUCCUACGGGAGGCAGCAGUAGGGAAUCUUCCGCAAUGGACGAAAGUCUGACGGAGCAACGCCGCGUGAGUGAUGAAGGUUUUCGGAUCGUAAAACUCUGUUAUUAGGGAAGAACAAAUGUGUAAGUAACUGUGCACAUCUUGACGGUACCUAAACAGAAAGCCACGGCUAACUACGUGCCAGCAGCCGCCGUAA